This 246-nucleotide unclassified non-coding RNA is filed under the name Hevea brasiliensis (rubber tree). The record is from RNAcentral. Lineage: Eukaryota; Viridiplantae; Streptophyta; Magnoliopsida; Malpighiales; Euphorbiaceae.
AGGAAAGAAGAAAAACAAACCAUAGCGAAGACAAUGGAAAUUGAAGAUUUAACUAAUUCUCUUGUUGCUGGUGAAUUGAAGAGUCUUUCAAUAUGUUUUGAUAUUCCCAAGGAUGUGAGGGGAAAAAAUGAAAUUCAUCAUUUAGAUCAUAUUGUUACCAUCGAAGAAGAUACCGUUGCUUGAUCUCCAAAUCCGAUUCUUGAUUCUUUAGCACUACAAACCUUGAGGUCGAGUUUUCUCCAAUCA